UACAGAGGGGGCAAGCGUUAUUCGGAAUUAUUGGGCGUAAAGGGCGCGUAGGCGGCUUGGCAAGUGGAAGGUGAAAUCCCUCGGCUUAACCGAGGAACUGCCCUCCAAACUGCUUGGCUUGAGACCGGGAGAGGUGAGUGGAAUUCCCAGUGUAGCGGUGAAAUGCGUAGAUAUUGGGAGGAACACCAGUGGCGAAGGCGGUUCUCUGGGACGGUACUGACGCUGAGACGCGAAAGCGUGGGGAGCGAACAGG
Molecule: ribosomal RNA, 253 nt
Filed under: uncultured bacterium
Lineage: Bacteria
Description: partial 16S ribosomal RNA
Rfam family: Bacterial small subunit ribosomal RNA
Source: RNAcentral